RNAcentral lists this ribosomal RNA (1818 nucleotides) under Campylobacter jejuni. RNAcentral describes it as "partial 23S ribosomal RNA". It matches the Rfam family "Bacterial large subunit ribosomal RNA", at positions 1054 to 2925 of the family's 2925-position model. Lineage: Bacteria; Pseudomonadati; Campylobacterota; Epsilonproteobacteria; Campylobacterales; Campylobacteraceae. The record is from RNAcentral.
GUUUAGUUAUAUUUUUACUGAUUUUUAUAGAGUAAAGAUAGAAAUAAAACUUAGUAAAAUCAGUAAAAAUAUUCUUAGGCUAAAGUUAAGUAGUUUAAGUUGUGUGCAAGUGGUAGGAGAGCGUUCUAUUUGCGUCGAAGGUAUACCGGUAAGGAGUGCUGGAGCGAAUAGAAGUGAGCAUGCAGGCAUGAGUAGCGAUAAUUAAUGUGAGAAUCAUUAACGCCGUAAACCCAAGGUUUCCUACGCGAUGCUCGUCAUCGUAGGGUUAGUCGGGUCCUAAGUCGAGUCCGAAAGGGGUAGACGAUGGCAAAUUGGUUAAUAUUCCAAUACCAACAUUAGUGUGCGAUGGAAGGACGCUUAGGGCUAAGGGGGCUAGCGGAUGGAAGUGCUAGUCUAAGGUCGUAGGAGGUUAUACAGGCAAAUCCGUAUAACAAUACUCCGAGAACUGAAAGGCUUUUUGAAGUCUUCGGAUGGAUAGAAGAACCCCUGAUGCCGUCGAGCCAAGAAAAGUUUCUAAGUUUAGCUAAUGUUGCCCGUACCGUAAACCGACACAGGUGGGUGGGAUGAGUAUUCUAAGGCGCGUGGAAGAACUCUCUUUAAGGAACUCUGCAAAAUAGCACCGUAUCUUCGGUAUAAGGUGUGGUUAGCUUUGUAUUAGGAUUUACUCCGAAAGCAAGGAAACUUACAACAAAGAGUCCCUCCCGACUGUUUACCAAAAACACAGCACUCUGCUAACUCGUAAGAGGAUGUAUAGGGUGUGACGCCUGCCCGGUGCUCGAAGGUUAAUUGAUGGGGUUAGCAUUAGCGAAGCUCUUGAUCGAAGCCCGAGUAAACGGCGGCCGUAACUAUAACGGUCCUAAGGUAGCGAAAUUCCUUGUCGGUUAAAUACCGACCUGCAUGAAUGGCGUAACGAGAUGGGAGCUGUCUCAAAGAGGGAUCCAGUGAAAUUGUAGUGGAGGUGAAAAUUCCUCCUACCCGCGGCAAGACGGAAAGACCCCGUGGACCUUUACUACAGCUUGACACUGCUACUUGGAUAAGAAUGUGCAGGAUAGGUGGGAGGCUUUGAGUAUAUGACGCCAGUUGUAUAUGAGCCAUUGUUGAGAUACCACUCUUUCUUAUUUGGGUAGCUAACCAGCUUGAGUUAUCCUCAAGUGGGACAAUGUCUGGUGGGUAGUUUGACUGGGGCGGUCGCCUCCCAAAUAAUAACGGAGGCUUACAAAGGUUGGCUCAGAACGGUUGGAAAUCGUUCGUAGAGUAUAAAGGUAUAAGCCAGCUUAACUGCAAGACAUACAAGUCAAGCAGAGACGAAAGUCGGUCUUAGUGAUCCGGUGGUUCUGUGUGGAAGGGCCAUCGCUCAAAGGAUAAAAGGUACCCCGGGGAUAACAGGCUGAUCUCCCCCAAGAGCUCACAUCGACGGGGAGGUUUGGCACCUCGAUGUCGGCUCAUCGCAUCCUGGGGCUGGAGCAGGUCCCAAGGGUAUGGCUGUUCGCCAUUUAAAGCGGUACGCGAGCUGGGUUCAGAACGUCGUGAGACAGUUCGGUCCCUAUCUGCCGUGGGCGUAAGAAGAUUGAAGAGAUUUGACCCUAGUACGAGAGGACCGGGUUGAACAAACCACUGGUGUAGCUGUUGUUCUGCCAAGAGCAUCGCAGCGUAGCUAAGUUUGGAAAGGAUAAACGCUGAAAGCAUCUAAGCGUGAAGCCAACUCUAAGAUGAAUCUUCUCUAAGCUCUCUAGAAGACUACUAGUUUGAUAGGCUGGGUGUGUAAUGGAUGAAAGUCCUUUAGCUGACCAGUACUAAUAGAGCGUUUGGCUUAUCUUU